Onychostoma macrolepis is the source of this 1046-nucleotide long non-coding RNA. RefSeq lists it as uncharacterized. The transcript is spliced from 4 exons. Lineage: Eukaryota; Metazoa; Chordata; Actinopteri; Cypriniformes; Cyprinidae. The record is from RefSeq and is a predicted model, not a curated record.
UUGAGCCAGCGCGCGAUGUCAUGUCACAGGAAUUCACUGGCCAAGAGAACGAGCAAAACAUUUCAUAACGCCAAAAAACGACGACCACAACGAGUUAAAACCAGCACUGCAUACAAAGCAGCGACGAUUAGGUUAUAUCUGGAUUUGACUGUUUAUAUCUGAUUAAAAAAAAGACGAUUUAAAAUGUCCGCCCGAAAAUCCCCUCAAGUACGCUACAAACUUACAGCAGCGCUAACUGGCUACAGUAUCAACCGAUUAUCUCUAAAAUAUCGCACAAUGUCUAAUAAAACAUGACAUACAGCUGUCGGAUUUACAAACGCGAUAUCAAACAUGAGGUAAAGCCUCUUUUCGUACCUUGGCUUGCAGACCAGAAACCCGGAGAAAAACCAACACCGACCGCUGCUGUCGACGUCCAAACGCUGGGACUGGAGAGGAGAGGAGAGGUGGGCGGUGGAGCUGCAGUGGAGCAGAGCAGAGCAGAGCAGAGCAGCCUCCCUCCGGUGCACACAAACUCUGCUGAAAACUCUGCUACACAGACUAACAACAGCAAACAAACACUGUACAUCUAAAGCAGUGGGCCUAUUUAGUAGCUGAUAGCUUCUCUGCUGAUAGACCAACGACUUUUGAGGAGGCUUUUUGACAGGACACGGAGGCUAAAGGUCAAGUUUAUCCUCCAGAGCAUCUCCAAUGGCCUCUAGUUUGGAGUCCAGCCAGAUGCUCAUGUGAGUGAUGUUUCCUGUUCAGCUUCAGGAGACAGGAAGCAUCACGCAUGUCUGAGCGCCCUGUGAAGAAGGGUUGGACCAAAGCAUGCUGUAAAAAGCCAUGAGCGAGUGAAUCCCCUUAAUCUGGACGACAGAGAGAAAGAGAAGUGAAAAAAGAUGACUAAAGCUAUAGUCAUAUAAUUAGGCGCAUUAUACACCUGAAAUUGAAUGUUUAAAUGAAUAGCUGUCCCUUUCCAAGUUUACAUGUGACUAUUGUCUUAAUUGCCUUGUAAUUAGUCUCAGACGGCACUCCCACAAACUUGUCUGAUGCACAUUGAUGCAAAA